UUUCAAGGAUUCACAUUAAAAUAACAUCUUCAGUAAUUCAAAAAUAAUGCUGAGAAUGCUGACUUGGCUUCUGACAGAGAUGCAUUCCUCUGGAUUGGUGCCCCAGCCUUGAGGAUGCCACUCAGCAGCUUGAGCUCUCAUCCACUGACAAGUUGGGCUGAGCAUACAAGGUCACGGUUGCUGAGUACGUGCCACCUAGCAGGGCUCCACAUUGCUCCAAUAAGCACGUCUGAGAAUCAGAGGACGAAAAAGAUGAUGAGGAAAGGACACAAAGGAUUCUGUUUCUACAGAGUCCUGUAGAAAUUCAUCCAAGAAGGGAAGCUUUUGAUUCUUGUGUCAGCAAGCACACAUUUGUUGUGAUUUUCAAGCAAGUGAAUAGCAUUUCUUCAUCAAAGCAUUUGUA
This is a long non-coding RNA of Cygnus atratus (black swan), 403 nucleotides long. RefSeq lists it as uncharacterized. The transcript has 3 exons. The record is from RefSeq and is a predicted model, not a curated record. Lineage: Eukaryota; Metazoa; Chordata; Aves; Anseriformes; Anatidae.